This is a microRNA precursor of Bos taurus (domestic cattle), 75 nucleotides long. NCBI's taxonomy places the organism in Eukaryota, Metazoa, Chordata, Mammalia, Artiodactyla, Bovidae. The record is from Ensembl.
GAGUUUCUUUUGAGGCCGGCCGCUUCCCAGCCAGGCUGAAAGGGCUCGGGAAGCUAGCUGGCCUUGUUGGCCCUU